This 253-nucleotide ribosomal RNA is filed under the name uncultured bacterium. Its description in RNAcentral is "partial 16S ribosomal RNA". It matches the Rfam family "Bacterial small subunit ribosomal RNA", at positions 524 to 776 of the family's 1533-position model. The record is from RNAcentral.
UACGGAGGAUGCAAGCGUUAUCCGGAUUUAUUGGGUUUAAAGGGUGCGUAGGCGGGAAGAUAAGUCAGUGGUGAAAUCUUAUAGCUUAACUAUAAAACUGCCAUUGAUACUGUUUUUCUUGAGUGUAGUUGAAGUAAAUGGAAUGUGUUGUGUAGCGGUGAAAUGCAUAGAUAUAACACAGAACACCUAUUGCGAAAGCAGUUUACUAAGCUAUUACUGACGCUGAGGCACGAAAGCGUGGGGAUCAAACAGG